RNAcentral lists this ribosomal RNA (873 nucleotides) under Loigolactobacillus coryniformis. Its description in RNAcentral is "bacterial SSU rRNA". It matches the Rfam family "Bacterial small subunit ribosomal RNA", at positions 48 to 884 of the family's 1533-position model. Lineage: Bacteria; Bacillati; Bacillota; Bacilli; Lactobacillales; Lactobacillaceae. The record is from RNAcentral.
CUAAUACAUGCAAGUCGAACGCACUGACGUCGACCGAAGCUGCUUGCAGUGGACGUUGAUUGACGUGAGUGGCGGACGGGUGAGUAACACGUGGGUAACCUACCCUUAAGUGGGGGAUAACAUUUGGAAACAGAUGCUAAUACCGCAUAACCAUUCAGACCACAUGGUCUGAAUGUAAAAGACGGCCUUUGGCUGUCACUUUUGGAUCGACCCGCGGCGUAUUAGUUAGUUGGUAAGGUAACGGCUUACCAAGACAAUGAUACGUAGCCGACCUGAGAGGGUGAUCGGCCACAUUGGGACUGAGACACGGCCCAAACUCCUACGGGAGGCAGCAGUAGGGAAUCUUCCACAAUGGACGAAAGUCUGAUGGAGCAACGCCGCGUGAGUGAAGAAGGUUUUAGGAUCGUAAAACUCUGUUGUUGGAGAAGAACAGGGACUAGAGUAACUGUUAGUCCUUUGACGGUAUCCAACCAGAAAGCCACGGCUAACUACGUGCCAGCAGCCGCGGUAAUACGUAGGUGGCAAGCGUUGUCCGGAUUUAUUGGGCGUAAAGCGAGCGCAGGCGGUUUUUUAAGUCUGAUGUGAAAGCCUUCGGCUUAACCGAAGAAGUGCAUUAGAAACUGGGAAACUUGAGUGCAGAAGAGGACAGUGGAACUCCAUGUGUAGCGGUGAAAUGCGUAGAUAUAUGGAAGAACACCAGUGGCGAAAGCGGCUGUCUGGUCUGUAACUGACGCUGAGGCUCGAAAGUAUGGGGAGCGAACAGGAUUAGAUACCCUGGUAGUCCAUACCGUAAACGAUGAAUGCUAAGUGUUGGAGGGUUUCUGCCCUUCAGUGCUGCAGCUAACGCAUUAAGCAUUCCGCCUGGGGAGUACG